This 77-nucleotide transfer RNA is filed under the name Candidatus Omnitrophota bacterium. Its description in RNAcentral is "Candidatus Omnitrophica bacterium tRNA-Val". It matches the Rfam family "tRNA". Rfam says of the family: Transfer RNA (tRNA) molecules are approximately 80 nucleotides in length. The record is from RNAcentral. Lineage: Bacteria; Pseudomonadati; Candidatus Omnitrophota.
GGGCGGUUAGCUCAGCUGGUUAGAGCGUCCCGUUCACAUCGGGAAGGUCGCAGGUUCAAAUCCUGCACCGCCCACAA